UGCUUAAUGUCUCUACUUUCAUUCACUGA
This 29-nucleotide non-coding RNA is filed under the name Mus musculus (house mouse). The record is from RNAcentral. Lineage: Eukaryota; Metazoa; Chordata; Mammalia; Rodentia; Muridae.